CUGGAGAAGCAGCUCAUGGGGGCGUAUGCUGAGGGACUGUAUCUUUUCCCAGGUUCCUCUCCCUUGCUGGCCCGCGGCAUAACUUGAAGAAACUCCCUGACAGGGUCCCACUCCCCCAGUGCUCCGCGACACCAGAGAACAUGGAUUGGCCCCCAGAAACCGGGACCCUAAAUAAAUGUCCCCACCUUUCCAUUGUUUCCUCACGUAGUUCAUACAGAGAUGUAACUAACACGGGAAAACUGUUACCAGAGAACAGUUGUUAGAGCAGAAACAAUCGCCAAGGGAACUCUGGCUAUGAUACUGCAGCAGCCUGCUCUUGCCCAUCCUAAAAGUUCACCUGCAGACUCUAACAGCUUCAUUCUUCUACGUUAGGAGGAUACAGCACACCUACCCGCAACCCCAGUCAGACAGGAUCACAGCUGAAAGUUGGUUUUGAAGCCCUGAGGAGACUUUGAACUUGGAAUUUCGAGAAAAGAUGGAGCUGUGUGUUUAUGGAGCUUCGCCGGGAGAAACCAUACGUUUUUUGCAUUAUGACCCCUUUGGGGUCAGAGAUGGAGUAUUACAGUUUGAAAAUGAAUGUCACCUGCAGAUCCUCACGCUGGGUGCUUGUUGCCAGCUGAGGAGGUUUUGGACAGUGACUGGUUGGAUGGAUCCUAAGGGCUUUGACCACUUGCUGGAUUCACAAUAUAAUGACAGGGGGUCGUAAGAAGUAAGAGGCAGAGUCUAGUUAAAGGAAGUAGGCCUACUUAGUGAGAAGACAUCUUGACCCCUCCCUUCCCUCUGUCUUGUGUUUCCUCGCUGCCGCGAUGUCCUGCCUUAAGUCACGACCCAAAUGUGAUCCAGCCAAUCCUGUCCUGACAUCUCCGGAAGACUGAGCCCAAAUACAUCUUUUCCCCUUUAAAUUAUUCCUUUCAGGUGUUGACCCCAGUGAUGAAAAGUCUGAAGAACACAGUCCCUCUGCCUAUUGGCUAUAUUGUAUGUCCAGUAGAAUAAUAACACAGAGCGCAGAAUUUUGGCCCAUAGCAGGCUUUGGUCAUCUAGCGUAUGUAAUGCCUGGACAGUGUCUGAUUUUUGAUUACACAAACAAGUUUUGGAUGGUUAAUAUUGACCAUCAACUUGAUCGGAUUGAGAUUAUGUCUGGAAGGGUAUUUCCAGAGAGGGUUAGUUCAUGAGGGUCAUGAGUUCGUGAGGGUCAUGACCUAAGAGAUGGGUUAAUGUUUUUAUGGAUUCAUAACAUGAUGCUGUUGUUGGGAGGGGUGUAAAGUAGGAGGUGUGACUUAGUUGGAGAAUGUAAGUCGCCACUGGCCUCAUGUUUUAGGGAUAUAUCUUGCUCUGGCCUUGUCCUAUAUCAUCCCUUAUAAAAUGAACAAUUUAUCCA
This is a non-coding RNA of Peromyscus maniculatus bairdii (prairie deer mouse), 1378 nucleotides long. NCBI's taxonomy places the organism in Eukaryota, Metazoa, Chordata, Mammalia, Rodentia, Cricetidae. The record is from RefSeq and is a predicted model, not a curated record.